CCUACGGGGAGCAGCAGUGAGGAAUAUUGGUCAAUGGGAGAGAUCCUGAACCAGCCAAGCCGCGUGAGGGAAGACGGCCCUAUGGGUUGUAAACCUCUUUUGUCGGAGAACAAAACCCGGGACGUGUCCCGGACUGCGUGUAUCCGAAGAAAAAGCAUCGGCUAACUCCGUGCCAGCAGCCGCGGUAAUACGGAGGAUGCGAGCGUUAUCCGGAUUUAUUGGGUUUAAAGGGUGCGUAGGCGGUCCGUUAAGUCAGCGGGAAAAUUGCGGGGCUCAACCCCGUCGAGCCGUUGACACUGGCAGACUUGAGUUGGCGAGAAGUACGCGGAAUGCGCGGUGUAGCGGUGAAAUGCAUAGAGAUCGCGCAGAACUCCGAUUGCGAAGGCAGCGUACCGGCGCCAGACUGACGCUGAGGCACGAAAGCGUGGGGAUCGAACAGGAUUAGAUACCCUGGUAGUC
This 459-nucleotide ribosomal RNA is filed under the name uncultured bacterium. RNAcentral describes it as "partial 16S ribosomal RNA". It matches the Rfam family "Bacterial small subunit ribosomal RNA", at positions 338 to 795 of the family's 1533-position model. The record is from RNAcentral.